Molecule: non-coding RNA, 126 nt
Organism: Triticum aestivum (bread wheat)
Lineage: Eukaryota; Viridiplantae; Streptophyta; Magnoliopsida; Poales; Poaceae
Source: Rfam
CAAAUACCCCCUCCUUUCGAAAAAUCUUGUCCCAAACGUGUCCCUCAAAUGAAUGUAUCUAGCACUAACUUGGUGCUAAAUACAUCCACUUGAGGGACAAGCUUUUUCAGACGGAGGGAGUAUAUU